AUCAAGAUAAAAACAAACAAAUCCCAAUUUGAGGAACUUCUUACAAAUGUACUUAACCAGUACUCCUGAACACUGUUAAUGAAAAACAAGGAAAGACUGAGAAUCUGUCACAGACCAGAGAACACUAAGGAGAUGUCACAACUAAAUGCAACGUGUGUCCUGGAUUAGAUCCUGGAAAAGAAAAAGGACAUCAGUGGAGAAACUAGUGGCAUCCAAAUCAAGCCUGGAAUUUAGUUACCAGUAAUGGAUACACGAAUCUGAAAUGCAUGACCAGCAAGACGUGGAGGGUGCAGAGUCCUGCUUGUGAGGACUUAGCUGGCCCAGGAACGGUGGUUCAAUUCACAGUAACAAUCCCCAAGAGUAUAAGUGAGCCAGAGCACAGCGGAUAAGAACCUGGGCUCUGAAGACAAACAGACCAAGAUCCUCCGAAAGGCAUUUCUGGCAUCAGUGUGGAAACUGUUGGGAAGAGAGCAAGAGCAGAUGUGGUUGGCCAGCUGGGAAGCUACAGCAGGGGUGACAUCAGAAGCUGACUGGGCGAAUACUG
Non-coding RNA from Microcebus murinus (gray mouse lemur), 544 nucleotides. The record is from RefSeq and is a predicted model, not a curated record. Lineage: Eukaryota; Metazoa; Chordata; Mammalia; Primates; Cheirogaleidae.